This 82-nucleotide microRNA precursor is filed under the name Branchiostoma belcheri (Belcher's lancelet). Its description in RNAcentral is "microRNA bbe-mir-92a precursor (bbe-mir-92a-1)". Its record names the gene bbe-mir-92a-1. Lineage: Eukaryota; Metazoa; Chordata; Leptocardii; Amphioxiformes; Branchiostomatidae. The record is from miRBase by way of RNAcentral.
AGAAGUUAGUCAUGACAAGAAGGUCGUGAUAGGUGGCAAUGUUGUACCCACCUCAAUAUUGCACUUGUCCCGGCCUUUUUGC